Molecule: ribosomal RNA, 762 nt
Filed under: uncultured Halobacteria archaeon
Lineage: Archaea; Methanobacteriati; Methanobacteriota; Halobacteria
Description: bacterial SSU rRNA
Rfam family: Archaeal small subunit ribosomal RNA
Source: RNAcentral
AGCUUGCUGUGUAAGUCCAUUGGGAAAUCGACCAGCUCAACUGGUCGGCGUCCGGUGGAAACUACACAGCUUGGGGCCGAGAGACUCAACGGGUACGUCCGGGGUAGGAGUGAAAUCCUGUAAUCCUGGACGGACCACCAAUGGGGAAACCACGUUGAGAGACCGGACCCGACAGUGAGGGACGAAAGCCAGGGUCUCGAACCGGAUUAGAUACCCGGGUAGUCCUGGCUGUAAACAAUGCUCGCUAGGUAUGUCACGCGCCAUGAGCACGUGAUGUGCCGUAGUGAAGACGAUAAGCGAGCCGCCUGGGAAGUACGUCCGCAAGGAUGAAACUUAAAGGAAUUGGCGGGGGAGCACCACAACCGGAGGAGCCUGCGGUUUAAUUGGACUCAACGCCGGACAUCUCACCGGUCCCGACAGUAGUAAUGACAGUCAGGUUGACGACUUUACUCGACGCUACUGAGAGGAGGUGCAUGGCCGCCGUCAGCUCGUACCGUGAGGCGUCCUGUUAAGUCAGGCAACGAGCGAGACCCACACUUCUAGUUGCCAGCAACACCCCUGCGGUGGUUGGGUACACUAGGAGGACUGCCAUUGCUAAAAUGGAGGAAGGAACGGGCAACGGUAGGUCAGUAUGCCCCGAAUGGACCGGGCAACACGCGGGCUACAAUGGCUCUGACAGUGGGAUGCAACGCCGAGAGGCGACGCUAAUCUCCAAACGGAGUCGUAGUUCGGAUUGCGGGCUGAACCCGCCCGCAUGAAGCU